UAUUUAAAAAUCUAUCUAUUUGUACAGUUAAAAAUUAACGUGUAAGAUAGAAUCAUGCUAAAAUACAGGGACUAGUUUUUAACCGUAAAAAUAGAUGGAUUUUUUACAA
Molecule: microRNA precursor, 109 nt
Filed under: Gossypium hirsutum (cotton)
Lineage: Eukaryota; Viridiplantae; Streptophyta; Magnoliopsida; Malvales; Malvaceae
Also listed under: 1 other name
Description: MIR7502 microRNA precursor family
Rfam family: MIR7502 microRNA precursor family
Source: Rfam by way of RNAcentral